GGAAUCGAGAGCUCCAAGUGGGC
Molecule: small nuclear RNA, 23 nt
Filed under: Arabidopsis thaliana (thale cress)
Lineage: Eukaryota; Viridiplantae; Streptophyta; Magnoliopsida; Brassicales; Brassicaceae
Description: snRNA_17830
Source: RNAcentral